AGCAGUCGCCGCGGGAAUACGUAGGGUGCAAGCGUUGUCCGGAAUUAUUGGGCGUAAAGGGCUCGCAGGCGGUUUCUUAAGUCUGAUGUGAAAGCCCCCGGCUCAACCGGGGAGGGUCAUUGGAAACUGGGAAACUUGAGUGCAGAAGAGGAGAGUGGAAUUCCACGUGUAGCGGUGAAAUGCGUAGAGAUGUGGAGGAACACCAGUGGCGAAGGCGACUCUCUGGUCUGUAACUGACGCUGAGGAGCGAAAGCGUGGGGAGCGAACAGGAUUAGAUACCCCAGUAGUCCCUGUCUCUUAUAC
Molecule: ribosomal RNA, 303 nt
Filed under: uncultured bacterium
Lineage: Bacteria
Description: partial 16S ribosomal RNA
Rfam family: Bacterial small subunit ribosomal RNA
Source: RNAcentral